UCUGCACUUGAAGCUGAGCCUG
RNAcentral lists this microRNA (22 nucleotides) under Equus caballus (horse). Its description in RNAcentral is "eca-miR-7143". The record is from miRBase by way of RNAcentral. Lineage: Eukaryota; Metazoa; Chordata; Mammalia; Perissodactyla; Equidae.